UGGGGAAUUUUGGACAAUGGGGGAAACCCUGAUCCAGCCAUCCCGCGUGUGCGAUGAAGGCCUUCGGGUUGCAAAGCACUUUUGGCAGGAAAGAAACGUCAUGGGUUAAUACCCCGUGAAACUGACGGUACCUGCAGAAUAAGCACCGGCUAACUACGUGCCAGCAGCCGCGGUAAUACGUAGGGUGCAAGCGUUAAUCGGAAUUACUGGGCGUAAAGCGUGCGCAGGCGGUUCGGAAAGAAAGAUGUGAAAUCCCAGAGCUCAACUUUGGAACUGCAUUUUUAACUACCGGGCUAGAGUGUGUCAGAGGGAGGUGGAAUUCCGCGUGUAGCAGUGAAAUGCGUAGAUAUGCGGAGGAACACCGAUGGCGAAGGCAGCCUCCUGGGAUAACACUGACGCUCAUGCACGAAAGCGUGGGGAGCAAACAGG
Molecule: ribosomal RNA, 429 nt
Filed under: Acidobacteriota bacterium
Lineage: Bacteria; Pseudomonadati; Acidobacteriota
Description: Acidobacteria bacterium partial 16S ribosomal RNA
Rfam family: Bacterial small subunit ribosomal RNA
Source: RNAcentral